Molecule: ribosomal RNA, 417 nt
Filed under: uncultured bacterium
Lineage: Bacteria
Description: bacterial SSU rRNA
Rfam family: Bacterial small subunit ribosomal RNA
Source: RNAcentral
AGAAUCUUCUGCAAUGGGCGAAAGCCUGACAGAGCGACGCCGCGUGGAGGAUGAAGGCCUUCGGGUUGUAAACUCCUGUCACAUGUUAAGAAACGUACGGGUCCACCCGUGCGCUGACGAAAGCAUGAGAGGACGUCACGGCCAACUUCGUGCCAGCCGCCGGGGUAAGACGAAGGUGGCUAGCGUUAUUCGGAGUUACUUGGCAUAAAGCGCGCGUCGGCGGCUCGAUCAGUCGGGGGUGAAAGCCCGCAGCUCAACUGCGGAACUGCCUCCGAUACUGUCGAGCUUGAGGGCGGGAGGGGUGAUUGGAACUCCAGGUGUAGCGGUGAAAUGCGUAGAUAUCUGGAGGAACACCGGAGGCGAAGGCGAAUCACUGGACCGCAUCUGACGCUGAGGCGCGAAAGCUAGGGGAGCAAA